Molecule: transfer RNA, 85 nt
Organism: Felis catus (domestic cat)
Lineage: Eukaryota; Metazoa; Chordata; Mammalia; Carnivora; Felidae
Rfam family: tRNA
About the family: Transfer RNA (tRNA) molecules are approximately 80 nucleotides in length. Their secondary structure includes four short double-helical elements and three loops (D, anti-codon, and T loops). Further hydrogen bonds mediate the characteristic L-shaped molecular structure. tRNAs have two regions of fundamental functional importance: the anti-codon, which is responsible for specific mRNA codon recognition, and the 3' end, to which the tRNAs corresponding amino acid is attached (by aminoacyl-tRNA synthetases). tRNAs cope with the degeneracy of the genetic code in two manners: having more than one tRNA (with a specific anti-codon) for a particular amino acid; and 'wobble' base-pairing, i.e. permitting non-standard base-pairing at the 3rd anti-codon position.
Source: Rfam
GCCUGGGUAGCUCAGUUGGUUAAGCGUCUGACUUCGGCUCAGGCCACGAUCUCAUGGCUCAUGGGUUCGAGCCCCACAUCGGGCU